AUUGAACGCUGGCGGCAUGCCUUACACAUGCAAGUCGAACGGCAGCACGGGGGCAACCCUGGUGGCGAGUGGCGAACGGGUGAGUAAUACAUCGGAACGUGUCCUGUAGUGGGGGAUAGCCCGGCGAAAGCCGGAUUAAUACCGCAUACGCUCUACGGAGGAAAGGGGGGGAUCUUAGGACCUCCCGCUACAGGGGCGGCCGAUGGCAGAUUAGCUAGUUGGUGGGGUAAAGGCCUACCAAGGCGACGAUCUGUAGCUGGUCUGAGAGGACGACCAGCCACACUGGGACUGAGACACGGCCCAGACUCCUACGGGAGGCAGCAGUGGGGAAUUUUGGACAAUGGGGGCAACCCUGAUCCAGCAAUGCCGCGUGUGUGAAGAAGGCCUUCGGGUUGUAAAGCACUUUUGUCCGGAAAGAAAACGCCGUGGUUAAUACCCGUGGCGGAUGAC
RNAcentral lists this ribosomal RNA (450 nucleotides) under Burkholderia sp. S717-01. RNAcentral describes it as "bacterial SSU rRNA". It matches the Rfam family "Bacterial small subunit ribosomal RNA", at positions 29 to 473 of the family's 1533-position model. The record is from RNAcentral. Lineage: Bacteria; Pseudomonadati; Pseudomonadota; Betaproteobacteria; Burkholderiales; Burkholderiaceae.